UUUAAAUUCAAUCAUAAGCUUUCGCGCUCAACUUUCAUCGUCCGUCUUAUUUUUUUUAUAAUUAGUAUUUUUGUUAUUAUGAGAUGAUAAAACAUGAAUAAUAUUUUACUCGUGACUUAUGUUUUUAAUUUUUUUUUCAAAACUUUUUAAAUAAGAAGGAUGUUUAAAGUUGGGCGCGGAAACCAUGGCUGCACUUAAA
Molecule: non-coding RNA, 199 nt
Organism: Oryza meridionalis
Lineage: Eukaryota; Viridiplantae; Streptophyta; Magnoliopsida; Poales; Poaceae
Source: Rfam